GCCAGGUGUGGUGGCACACACCUGUAGUCCCAGCUACUUAGGAGGCUGAGGUAGGAGGAUUGCUUGAGCCCAGGAGAUUGAGGCUGCAGUGAGCUGUGAUCGUGCCACUGCACUCCAGCCUGGGCAACAGAACAAGACCCUGUCUCAA
Molecule: signal recognition particle RNA, 148 nt
Filed under: Chlorocebus sabaeus (green monkey)
Lineage: Eukaryota; Metazoa; Chordata; Mammalia; Primates; Cercopithecidae
Description: Metazoan signal recognition particle RNA
Rfam family: Metazoan signal recognition particle RNA
About the family: The signal recognition particle (SRP) is a universally conserved ribonucleoprotein. It is involved in the co-translational targeting of proteins to membranes.
Source: Rfam by way of RNAcentral